CCUUGAAGGAAGAACUGACAAAUGGUCAUGGCGACGGUGUCGCGAACGGAGCGGUCUUCACUUAGCACCCUCGGCGAGCAGAUCCCAGAGCAACCGGAGGUCCCGGCUCCGCUACUGUGAUGUCAUCUUCUUGCGCCUGAUUCAGUCCAAAUUCUACAUUAUGAAAAGCAAUUUCUUGGACUUCGUUGGUGACUUGGUGGUCUGCCAAUGCAGGAGACAUGGAUUUGAUCCUUGACCCAGGAAGACCCCACAUGCUGCAGAGCAACUACGCCUGUGUGCCACAACUACUGAGCCUGAGCGCUGGAGCUCAGGCUACGAUUACUGAAGCCAUGUGCUCUAGAACCUGUGCUCCGAACCAGAGGAGCCUGCGCACCAUAACGAGAAAGUAGCUCCCGCUCGCCACAACUGGAGAAAAGGCUGCGUGUCAAUGAAGACCGAGCACAGCCAAAAAUAGAUAAAUACAAUUUUUUUUUUUAAGCAAUAAGUUUAGAUUCUUUAGUACAACAUUAUUUAUGAAAAUAAAAAUAUCAAAUAUAAUCAAUUAGAAGAGUAAUACUGAUAUGUUCAUGAAGUGUUUAAAAAUGUUUAGGAAACAGUGCCGUUCAGAGCCUGGAUACAAGACCUAAAAGUUAAAUUUAAAAGUUUUAAAAGUUGUAUUAAAGUUCAAAUAUUUCUGUCACUCAACAGUUCUUAAGUUAGAGUGAUGCCAUUCCCCAGAGGGUAUUUGGAAAUAUACAAAAGCCAUCUGAGACUGUCACAGUGACUGCUGGCUAUUACCUACAUUCACAGACAAGAAUGUUAAAUGUAUUAUGACAUUUCAUAAAAUGUUAGUUCCCAGAAACUGUAAAAAUAAAUCUAAUGAUGUAUGUAA
Molecule: long non-coding RNA, 871 nt
Organism: Cervus elaphus (red deer)
Lineage: Eukaryota; Metazoa; Chordata; Mammalia; Artiodactyla; Cervidae
Exons: 2
Source: RefSeq, a predicted model, not a curated record